GGGAAAAGUAGCUUGCUACUGGACCUAGCGGCGGACGGGUGAGUAAUGCUUAGGAAUCUGCCUAUUAGUGGGGGACAACAUCUCGAAAGGGAUGCUAAUACCGCAUACGUCCUACGGGAGAAAGCAGGGGACCUUCGGGCCUUGCGCUAAUAGAUGAGCCUAAGUCGGAUUAGCUAGUUGGUGGGGUAAAGGCCUACCAAGGCGACGAUCUGUAGCGGGUCUGAGAGGAUGAUCCGCCACACUGGGACUGAGACACGGCCCAGACUCCUACGGGAGGCAGCAGUGGGGAAUAUUGGACAAUGGGGGGAACCCUGAUCCAGCCAUGCCGCGUGUGUGAAGAAGGCCUUUUGGUUGUAAAGCACUUUAAGCGAGGAGGAGGCUACCGAGAUUAAUACUCUUGGAUAGUGGACGUUACUCGCAGAAUAAGCACCGGCUAACUCUGUGCCAGCAGCCGCGGUAAUACAGAGGGUGCAAGCGUUAAUCGGAUUUACUGGGCGUAAAGCGCGCGUAGGUGGCCAAUUAAGUCAAAUGUGAAAUCCCCGAGCUUAACUUGGGAAUUGCAUUCGAUACUGGUUGGCUAGAGUAUGGGAGAGGAUGGUAGAAUUCCAGGUGUAGCGGUGAAAUGCGUAGAGAUCUGGAGGAAUACCGGUGGCGAAGGCAGCCAUCUGGCCU
Molecule: ribosomal RNA, 672 nt
Filed under: uncultured Pseudomonadales bacterium
Lineage: Bacteria; Pseudomonadati; Pseudomonadota; Gammaproteobacteria; Pseudomonadales
Description: bacterial SSU rRNA
Rfam family: Bacterial small subunit ribosomal RNA
Source: RNAcentral